UACGUAGGGUGCAAGCGUUAAUCGGAAUUUCUGGGCGUAAAGCGUGCGCAGGCGGUUAUGUAAGACAGAUGUGAAAUGCCCGGGCUUAACCUGGGAACUGCAUUUGUGACUGCAUGGCUAGAGUUUGGCAGAGGGGGGUAGAAUUCCACGUGUAGCAGUGAAAUGCGUAGAUAUGUGGAGGAACACCGAUGGCGAAGGCAGCCCCCUGGGUCAAGACUGACGCUCAUGCACGAAAGCGUGGGGAGCAAACAGG
RNAcentral lists this ribosomal RNA (253 nucleotides) under uncultured bacterium. Its description in RNAcentral is "partial 16S ribosomal RNA". It matches the Rfam family "Bacterial small subunit ribosomal RNA", at positions 524 to 776 of the family's 1533-position model. The record is from RNAcentral.